This 519-nucleotide ribosomal RNA is filed under the name uncultured bacterium. RNAcentral's name for it is "partial 16S ribosomal RNA". It matches the Rfam family "Bacterial small subunit ribosomal RNA", at positions 29 to 523 of the family's 1533-position model. The record is from RNAcentral.
AACGAACGCUGGCGGCGUGCCUAACACAUGCAAGUCGAACGAGAAAGGGGCUUCGGCUCCGAGUAGAGUGGCGCACGGGUGAGUAACACGUGGGUAACCUGCCUCUAAGAUUGGGAUAACUCGUCGAAAGAUGAGCUAAUACCGGAUAAGACCACAGUUCCUGCGGGAACAGGGGUCAAAGGUAGCCUCUGCUUGCAAGCUAUCACUUAGAGAUGGGCCUGCGCACCAUUAGCUAGUUGGUAGGGUAACGGCCUACCAAGGCAAAGAUGGUUAGCUGAUCUGAGAGGAUGAUCAGCCACACUGGAACUGAGACACGGUCCAGACUCCUACGGGAGGCAGCAGUGGGGAAUAUUGCGCAAUGGGCGAAAGCUUGACGCAGCAACGCCGCGUGAGUGAUGAAGGCCUUCGGGUCGUAAAGCUCUGUCGGGAGGAACGAAUGCUCCUGAGGUUAACAGCCUCGGGAGGUGACGGUACCUCCAAAGGAAGCACCGGCUAACUCUGUGCCAGCCGCCGCAGUAA